This 253-nucleotide ribosomal RNA is filed under the name uncultured bacterium. RNAcentral describes it as "partial 16S ribosomal RNA". It matches the Rfam family "Bacterial small subunit ribosomal RNA", at positions 524 to 776 of the family's 1533-position model. The record is from RNAcentral.
UACGAAGGGUGCAAGCGUUACUCGGAAUUACUGGGCGUAAAGCGUGCGUAGGUGGUUCGUUAAGUCUGAUGUGAAAGCCCUGGGCUCAACCUGGGAAUGGCAUUGGAAACUGGCGACCUAGAGUGCGGUAGAGGGUAGUGGAAUUCCCGGUGUAGCAGUGAAAUACGUAGAGAUCGGGAGGAACAUCCGUGGCGAAGGCGACUACCUGGACCAGCACUGACACUGAGGCACGAAAGCGUGGGGAGCAAACAGG